CCUACGGGGGGCAGCAGUGGGGAAUAUUGGACAAUGGGGGGAACCCUGAUCCAGCCAUGCCGCGUGUGUGAAGAAGGCCCUCGGGUUGUAAAGCACUUUCAGUGAGGAAGAACGCCUGGUGGUUAAUACCCAUCAGGAAAGACAUCACUCACAGAAGAAGCACCGGCUAACUCCGUGCCAGCAGCCGCGGUAAUACGGAGGGUGCGAGCGUUAAUCGGAAUUACUGGGCGUAAAGCGCGCGUAGGUGGCUUGAUAAGCCGGUUGUGAAAGCCCCGGGCUCAACCUGGGAACGGCAUCCGGAACUGUCAAGCUAGAGUGCAGGAGAGGAAGGUAGAAUUCCCGGUGUAGCGGUGAAAUGCGUAGAGAUCGGGAGGAAUACCAGUGGCGAAGGCGGCCUUCUGGACUGCAACUGACACUGAGGUGCGAAAGCGUGGGUAGCAAACAGGAUUAGAUACCCUUGUAGUC
This 465-nucleotide ribosomal RNA is filed under the name Vreelandella stevensii. RNAcentral's name for it is "partial 16S ribosomal RNA". It matches the Rfam family "Bacterial small subunit ribosomal RNA", at positions 338 to 795 of the family's 1533-position model. The record is from RNAcentral. Lineage: Bacteria; Pseudomonadati; Pseudomonadota; Gammaproteobacteria; Oceanospirillales; Halomonadaceae.